Molecule: ribosomal RNA, 375 nt
Filed under: uncultured organism
Description: partial 16S ribosomal RNA
Rfam family: Bacterial small subunit ribosomal RNA
Source: RNAcentral
AGAGGGUGCGAACGUUGCUCGGAUUUACUGGGGCGUAAAGCGCGUGUAGGCGGACUCGCAAGUCGGGUUGUGAAAUCCCUGGGGCUCAACCUAGGGAACUGCAUCCGAAACUGCUUGUCUUGAGUAAUGGAGAGGGUGGCGGAAUUCCCGGUGUAGAGGUGAAAUUCGUAGAUAUCGGGAGGAACAUCAGUGGCGAAGGCGGCCACCUGGACAUUCACUGACGCUGAGACGCGAAAGCGUGGGGAGCAAACAGGAUUAGAUACCCUGGUAGUCCACGCCGUAAACGAUGAGCACUAGGUGCAGCGGAUAUUGACCUCGGCUGUGCCGUAGCUAACGCGUUAAGUGCUCCGCCUGGGGAGUACGGCCGCAAGGCUA